This 497-nucleotide ribosomal RNA is filed under the name uncultured bacterium. RNAcentral describes it as "partial 16S ribosomal RNA". It matches the Rfam family "Bacterial small subunit ribosomal RNA", at positions 28 to 507 of the family's 1533-position model. The record is from RNAcentral.
GAUGAACGCUGGCGGCGUGCCUAAUACAUGCAAGUCGAGCGAACAGACGAGGAGCUUGCUCCUCUGACGUUAGCGGCGGACGGGUGAGUAACACGUGGAUAACCUACCUAUAAGACUGGGAUAACUUCGGGAAACCGGAGCUAAUACCGGAUAAUAUAUUGAACCGCAUGGUUCAAUAGUGAAAGACGGUUUUGCUGUCACUUAUAGAUGGAUCCGCGCCGCAUUAGCUAGUUGGUAAGGUAACGGCUUACCAAGGCAACGAUGCGUAGCCGACCUGAGAGGGUGAUCGGCCACACUGGAACUGAGACACGGUCCAGACUCCUACGGGAGGCAGCAGUAGGGAAUCUUCCGCAAUGGGCGAAAGCCUGACGGAGCAACGCCGCGUGAAUGAUGAAGGUCUUCGGAUCGUAAAACUCUGUUAUUAGGGAAGAACAAAUGUGUAAGUAACUAUGCACGUCUUGAUGGUACCUAAUCAGAAAGCCACGGCUAACUACGUG